CGCGGUAUUAUGACCGUGCGAAGGUAGCAUAAUCAUUAGUCUUUUAAUUGAGGGCUGGUAUGAAGGGUCGGACGAGAAAUGAGCUGUCUUAAAUUUUGAAAAUUGAAUUUAACUUUUAAGUGAGAAGGCUUAAAUAGGUUAGGGGGACGAUAAGACCCUAUAAAGUUUGACACUAAAUUAAUUAGGGGUGAUUUAGACAGUAAAGUCUUAUUAUUAUAUAAGUGUUUAGUUGGGGCGACUAGGAUAUAAGUUAUUUAACUGUUUCUUCAUUCGAAUCAAAAAUUUUUGAUUUUAUGGUCCUUUUUUAGGAUAUUAGAGUAAAUUACUUUAGGGAUAACAGCGUAAUUUUUUUUGAGAGUUCUUAUCGAUAAGAGAGUUUGCGACCUCGAUGUUGAAUUAAAAUUUCUUUGUAAUGCAGCAGUUACAAGAGAGGGUC
This 436-nucleotide ribosomal RNA is filed under the name Cherax destructor albidus. RNAcentral's name for it is "partial 16S ribosomal RNA". It matches the Rfam family "Archaeal large subunit ribosomal RNA", at positions 2009 to 2646 of the family's 2987-position model. The record is from RNAcentral. Lineage: Eukaryota; Metazoa; Arthropoda; Malacostraca; Decapoda; Parastacidae.